AGAUCCCUCCUUGCAUUGGAGCCAGGAUCUUCCCGACCUCAGAAAGCCCAGUGUUAGCCAAGAGGGAUGCCAACCCAUAGGAGAGAAUAUGCUGGUACUGUCCACCAUCCUGAACCAAAGGCAUUAAAGCUGGCAGAAAAGAAUAUUAAUGGCGAUGAUAAAACCAUGUCACAGAAACGUGGUGGCUCUGUGGGGCAUAAAUUCAUGCAAAAGCACUUUCUGAAGCUGCUGUAGGCUGACAGUGUGCUCCCCCCACACACACUGCAUCUUUGAUUUCAUCAGCAACAAAAGAACAGCCAGCCGGCUCUGCAAGCAAGGUACACUGAGCGUAACAAACCUGACGAGAGAGUGGCUGGCACAACUAGCACAUCUUUACACCCUUCUUGACAACGCAUGGCUGAAGAGGUACCCUUACUGCUCCUGCUAAGGAACAAAGCACAGCGUGAACUUGGCCUUUACAAGACAUCAGAGACUCUACCCAGCAGCUCCAUCUGAAGGGUCCUCAGUUCAUUUUGUCCUCCUCUCACUGGAUUUUGCUCUAAACAAGCG
Long non-coding RNA from Gallus gallus (chicken), 549 nucleotides. NCBI's taxonomy places the organism in Eukaryota, Metazoa, Chordata, Aves, Galliformes, Phasianidae. The record is from Ensembl.